GAACGCUGGCGGCGUGCUUAACACAUGCAAGUCGAACGGAAAGGCCCUGCUUUUGUGGGGUGCUCGAGUGGCGAACGGGUGAGUAACACGUGAGUAACCUGCCCUUGACUUUGGGAUAACUUCAGGAAACUGGGGCUAAUACCGGAUAGGAGCUCCUGCUGCAUGGUGGGGGUUGGAAAGUUUCGGCGGUUGGGGAUGGACUCGCGGCUUAUCAGCUUGUUGGUGGGGUAGUGGCUUACCAAGGCUUUGACGGGUAGCCGGCCUGAGAGGGUGACCGGCCACAUUGGGACUGAGAUACGGCCCAGACUCCUACGGGAGGCAGCAGUGGGGAAUAUUGCACAAUGGGCGGAAGCCUGAUGCAGCAACGCCGCGUGCGGGAUGACGGCCUUCGGGUUGUAAACCGCUUUCGCCUGUGACGAAGCGUGAGUGACGGUAAUGGGUAAAGAAGCACCGGCUAACUACGUGCCAGCAGCCGCGGUGAUACGUAGGGUGCGAGCGUUGUCCGGAUUUAUUGGGCGUAAAGGGCUCGUAGGUGGUUGAUCGCGUCGGAAGUGUAAUCUUGGGGCUUAACCCUGAGCGUGCUUUCGAUACGGGUUGACUUGAGGAAGGUAGGGGAGAAUGGAAUUCCUGGUGGAGCGGUGGAAUGCGCAGAUAUCAGGAGGAACACCAGUGGCGAAGGCGGUUCUCUGGGCCUUUCCUGACGCUGAGGAGCGAAAGCGUGGGGAGCGAACAGGCUUAGAUACCCUGGUAGUCCACGCUGUAAACGGUGGGUACUAGGUGUGGGGUCCAUUCCACGGGUUCCGUGCCGUAGCUAACGCUUUAAGUACCCCGCCUGGGGAGUACGGCCGCAAGGCUAAAACUCAAAGGAAUUGACGGGGCCCCGCACAAGCGGCGGAGCAUGCGGAUUAAUUCGAUGCAACGCGUAGAACCUUACCUGGGUUUGACAUGGAUCGGGAGUGCUCAGAGAUGGGUGUGCCUCUUUUGGGGUCGGUUCACAGGUGGUGCAUGGCUGUCGUCAGCUCGUGUCGUGAGAUGUUGGGUUAAGUUCCGCAACGAGCGCAACCCUUGUUCACUGUUGCCAGCACGUUAUGGUGGGGACUCAGUGGAGACCGCCGGGGUCAACUCGGAGGAAGGUGGGGAUGACGUCAAGUCAUCAUGCCCCUUAUGUCCAGGGCUUCACGCAUGCUACAAUGGCUGGUACAGAGAGUGGCGAGCCUGUGAGGGUGAGCGAAUCUCGGAAAGCCGGUCUCAGUUCGGAUUGGGGUCUGCAACUCGACCUCAUGAAGUCGGAGUCGCUAGUAAUCGCAGAUCAGCAACGCUGCGGUGAAUACGUUCCCGGGGCUUGUACACACCGCCCGUCAAGUCAUGAAAGUUGGUAACACCCGAAGCCGGUGGCCUAACCGUUGUGGGGGAGCCGUCGAAGGUGGGACUGGUGAUUAGG
Molecule: ribosomal RNA, 1441 nt
Filed under: uncultured organism
Description: 16S ribosomal RNA
Rfam family: Bacterial small subunit ribosomal RNA
Source: RNAcentral